This 507-nucleotide ribosomal RNA is filed under the name uncultured bacterium. RNAcentral's name for it is "partial 16S ribosomal RNA". It matches the Rfam family "Bacterial small subunit ribosomal RNA", at positions 28 to 507 of the family's 1533-position model. The record is from RNAcentral.
GACGAACGCUGGCGGCGUGCUUAACACAUGCAAGUCGAACGGGCCUUGUCCCCUUUUUUUUGGGGGUGGGGUUAGUGGCGAACGGGUGAGUAACACGUGAGUAACCUGCCCCUCACUUCUGGAUAACCGCUUGAAAGGGUGGCUAAUACGGGGUGUUCUGGCCUGCUCGCAUGGGUGGGUUUGGAAAGAUUCGACCGGUUGUGGUUGUUUUGGUGGGGGAUGGGCUCGCGGCCUUUCAGCUUGUUGGUGGGGGGAUGGCCUGCCAAGGCUUUGACGGGUAGCCGGCCUGGGAGGGUGUGCGGUCACGCUGGGACUGGGACACGGCCCAGACUCCGACGGGAGGCAGCAGUGGGGAAUAUUGCACAAUGGGCGCAAGCCUGAUGCAGCGACGCCGCGUGAGGGAUGGAGGCCUUCGGGUUGUGAACCUCUUUCGCCAGUGAAGAAGGUCCUGCUCUUUGUGGUGGGGUUGACGGUAGCUGGGUUAAUGAAGCGCCGGCUAACUACGUG